AGAGUUUGAUCCUGGCUCAGAACGAACGCUGGUGGCGUGCUUAACACAUGCAAGUCGAACGAGAACGUUUCCUUCAGGAAACUAGUAAAGUGGCGCAAGGGUGAGUAACACGUGAAUAAUCUGCCCUCGAGAUCGGGAUAACAUGGUGAAAACUUUGCUAAUACCGGAUAAGACCACAUUUCGCAAGAAAUGCGGUAAAAGGAGUCUCAAUCUUCACUCGAGGAUGAGUUCGCGCAACAUUAGCUUGUUGGUGAGAUAAAAGCUCACCAAGGCUACGAUGUUUAGCCGGCCUGAGAGGGUGAACGGCCACACUGGAACUGAGACACGGUCCAGACUCCUACGGGAGGCAGCAGUGGGGAAUAUUGCGCAAUGGGCGAAAGCCUGACGCAGCAACGCCGUGUGAGCGAUGAAGGCUUUAGGGUCGUAAAGCUCUGUCAAUUGGGAAGAAUUAUGACGGUACCAGUAGAGGAAGCCCCGGCUAACUCCGUGCCAGCAGCCGCGGUAAUACGGAGGGGGCAAGCGUUGUUCGGAAUUAUUGGGCGUAAAGCGUAUGUAGGCGGCUAAGCAAGUCAGGCGUGCAAGCCCGUGGCUCAACCACGGAAUUGCGUUUGAAACUGCUUAGCUUGAGUACAGGAGAGGAAAGCGGAAUUCCCAGUGUAGCGGUGAAAUGCAUUGAUAUUG
Molecule: ribosomal RNA, 681 nt
Filed under: uncultured bacterium
Lineage: Bacteria
Description: bacterial SSU rRNA
Rfam family: Bacterial small subunit ribosomal RNA
Source: RNAcentral